RNAcentral lists this ribosomal RNA (254 nucleotides) under uncultured bacterium. Its description in RNAcentral is "partial 16S ribosomal RNA". It matches the Rfam family "Bacterial small subunit ribosomal RNA", at positions 524 to 777 of the family's 1533-position model. The record is from RNAcentral.
UACGUAGGGGGCAAGCGUUGUCCGGAUUUAUUGGGCGUAAAGAGCGUGUAGGCGGCCUGGAAGGUCAGCUGUGAAAACUCGAGGCUCAACCUCGAGACGUCGGUUGAAACCACCUGGCUAGAGUCCGGAAGAGGAGAGUGGAAUUCCCGGUGUAGCGGUGAAAUGCGCAGAUAUCGGGAAGAACACCCGUGGCGAAGGCGGCUCUCUGGGACGGUACUGACGCUGAGACGCGAAAGCGUGGGGAGCGAACAGGG